CCUACGGGGGGCUGCAGUGGGGAAUAUUGGACAAUGGGGGGAACCCUGAUCCAGCCAUGCCGCGUGUGUGAAGAAGGCCCUCGGGUUGUAAAGCACUUUCAGUGAGGAAGAACGCCUGGUGGUUAAUACCCAUCAGGAAAGACAUCACUCACAGAAGAAGCACCGGCUAACUCCGUGCCAGCAGCCGCGGUAAUACGGAGGGUGCGAGCGUUAAUCGGAAUUACUGGGCGUAAAGCGCGCGUAGGUGGCUUGAUAAGCCGGUUGUGACAGCCCCGGGCUCAACCUGGGAACGGCAUCCGGAACUGUCAAUCUAGAGUGCAGGAGAGGAAGGUAGAAUUCCCGGUGUAGCGGUGAAAUGCGUAGAGAUCGGGAGGAAUACCAGUGGCGAAGGCGGCCUUCUGGACUGACACUGACACUGAGGUGCGAAAGCGUGGGUAGCAAACAGGAUUAGAUACCCGAGUAGUC
Molecule: ribosomal RNA, 465 nt
Filed under: Vreelandella stevensii
Lineage: Bacteria; Pseudomonadati; Pseudomonadota; Gammaproteobacteria; Oceanospirillales; Halomonadaceae
Description: partial 16S ribosomal RNA
Rfam family: Bacterial small subunit ribosomal RNA
Source: RNAcentral